AACGAACGCUGGCGGCAUGCCUAACACAUGCAAGUCGAACGAGACCUUCGGGUCUAGUGGCGCACGGGUGCGUAACGCGUGGGAACCUGCACUUAGGUUCGGCAUAACUCCCCGAAAGGGGUGCUAACACCGGGUAAUGUCUUCGGACCAAAGAUUUAUCGCAUUUGGAUGGGCCCGAGUUGGAUUAGCUAGUUGGUAGGGUAAAAGCCUACCAAGGCGACGAUCCAUAGCUGGUCUGAGAGGAUGAUCAGCCACACUGGGACUGAGACACGGCCCAGACUCCUACGGGAGGCAGCAGUGGGGAAUAUUGGACAAUGGGCGAAAGCCUGAUCCAGCAAGGCCGCGUGAGUGAUGAAGUCCGUAGGGAUGUAAAGCUCUUUUACCCGGGAUGAUAAUGACAGUACCGGGAGAAUAAGCUCCGGCUAACUCCGUG
Molecule: ribosomal RNA, 433 nt
Filed under: uncultured bacterium
Lineage: Bacteria
Description: partial 16S ribosomal RNA
Rfam family: Bacterial small subunit ribosomal RNA
Source: RNAcentral